This 312-nucleotide ribosomal RNA is filed under the name uncultured Lachnospiraceae bacterium. RNAcentral describes it as "partial 16S ribosomal RNA". Lineage: Bacteria; Bacillati; Bacillota; Clostridia; Lachnospirales; Lachnospiraceae. The record is from RNAcentral.
GGAGUCUGGGCCGUGUCUCAGUCCUAAUGUGGCCGAUCACUCUCUCAAGUCGGCUACUGAUCGUUGCUUUGGUAGGCCGUUACCCUGCCAACUGGCUAAUCAGACGCGGGUCCAUCUUGUACCACCGGAGUUUUUCACACUGUACCAUGCAGUACUGUGCGCUUAUGCGGUAUUAGCAGUCGUUUCCAACUGUUGUCCCCCGGUGUAAGGCAGGUUACCCACGCGUUACUCACCCGUCCGCCACUAAGAGAUCCUCCGAAGAAAACCUCUCCGUUCGACUUGCAUGUGUUAGGCACGCCGCCAGCGUUCAUC